RNAcentral lists this long non-coding RNA (255 nucleotides) under Mus musculus (house mouse). RNAcentral describes it as "long non-coding RNA chr8:23127455-23127710". Lineage: Eukaryota; Metazoa; Chordata; Mammalia; Rodentia; Muridae. The record is from RNAcentral.
UAAAACCUCCUCGGUAAACCCAAGAGUGAGGUGACACCAGAGGAGCUGCGAAGAUGGGUGGAGGGGGGACUUAAUACAGGUUCACCGUGCUCACAUAGUCAAAGUGCUCAUCAACCGCUACAGCGAGAAGUUCCUGGACUGGAGAAAGUCCUCAAAAAGCAAUGUAACAUGGUGCUGGAGAAUGUGAAGGAGAUGUAGACCCGGGUCCCCAAGACAGACAAGGGUAAGAAGUAGUCCCCACCAGUCAACAAGGAC